Molecule: long non-coding RNA, 2628 nt
Organism: Cercocebus atys (sooty mangabey)
Lineage: Eukaryota; Metazoa; Chordata; Mammalia; Primates; Cercopithecidae
Exons: 2
Source: RefSeq, a predicted model, not a curated record
GUAGGAGAGAGGAAGGAAUGACAUGCUGCUUGGUGGCCUGGGGACUAGAGAGAGAAUCCAGGGAAUCUGCAACUCUGAAGUUGAGGUCAGAAGGGCAGAGCCAACAAAAAGCCAGAAAUCUUACCAGGUCUUCACACAUGACAGGAUGUAUGAAGAUCUAGCUCCAGGCAGCUCUUCCCUAGAAAACUGUGUCUUUGGUUUUCUGCAAUAGUUGGUUCUGCUUCAAAGAAUAAAUAGAUAAAAACUGAUAGAGCAGAUGAGUGGUUGUUGCCAACUCCUGAUUCAAAAAUGAACAAUAUUCACCAAAACAACCUGAAGACAUAGAAGAGGAAGGAAUAUCUGACCAUAGCUGAAAUAACUAAUUUGAAAUGAAACAUGAGUGCACAGAAUUAAAAAGAAACCUACUGGCAUGUCUGGGAAAUCCCAAUUCAAGCAUGAAUGCGGGUAAGCAAUGAAGAAAAAGAUGCUGAUUUACACUAUUUCACUCAUCAGAGCCAGGAGGACAGGAGAGCUUGUAUCACCAUCUUUAUUUUUAACAAAUGUCUUUAUAUUGGAUUCUCUGAAAAUGUUCAUGUGCAAUAUCUGCAUUAUUUUUGGCCAUUGUUUGGGGAAAUGCUUUAAAUUUUGAUGCCAAAAAAAGCCUCUCAAUUGUCGACGAAUUAAUAUGUCUCUGUUUAAAAACUGUGAUGAAAUGUAGAAAGCAGGCCCAAGACUAGUAUCUCUGCCUUUUUCCUGUGUGCAAUGGCAGUGGAGCCUUUAAACAAUUAUGUACCUUGUUGAAUAACCAAUUUUUAAAAGCACAGAAAAAUCUGUUCAUAUGGAAAGUCUUAUGUUCUCCUUCAGGAACAAUAUUACUGGAAUAAGGAAAUAUAGAAGCAUUUUCUCCAUAUUCCUGGCCGCCUCCCACAGUAUUUUCACCUUCUGGUCACUGCCACCCUGGUUAGUGACCUUCCUGCAGGACAACCACAAUAACAACCAUUAUACCAAUAAAUAAGUAGUCAGACAAUUCUCAAGGAAAAUGUGGGCUUUGCUAACACAGAAGGAUCUCCUUCUAAUCAAAGGCACCCACUAUUAAUCUUUCAAGACCCAAGUCUCUCAACCCUGGAUUGAAUGCUGUGCACUUCCUCAGGCAAUGGAUCAUGGAGGAGUUUAUCUAAGGGACAUGCCAAUCACUCAUUCCCCAGGGCUGGAUUCUCUAGCCUGAGUCCUAUUUCAGGUCAGAUGUGAAGAAAACUAUUUGCCUGAAUACCAAACUUUAAGCUCCCUGUAAAAAUCACCUUCAGAGAAACAACUGGAAGGAUAAACUGCAUACCCUCAGAUUUCUUUCUUUCUUUUUUUCCCCAGAGGGUGAUAAGAACAUUUGGUAUCUUCUGUGCAACCCCUGUUCUUCUUUUCCUUCUUUCAACACUCAUACCCUCUUCAUUACAUGGUCUGUAUUACUUGAACCCUUCUAAAUACAUCUUUAAUUGCAAGAUAGCCCCAAAACUGUAAGAGUAGGAAAGAGUAUAAACAACUAAAAUGAAAUAAACCCAUCUGGUCUUUAUCUAUUUCCUACCCAAUUAUGAAAAGCAAAGGAGAAAAAUAAAAUCACUGAGAAGCAAUUCAGAAAUGCAGAGGUCCUGUUCACAGCAAUCACUCUACUGUCUCAAAAGCAAGCUCUAACCCCAUCCUUCCCUUUCUCCCCUGUAAAUCAAGAGUGGGGUGUGACAGCGGAGGCUUAGCUGGUCAGAAGGCACAUCCUCUGUGAGUUGGGGACAUGUGUUAUGCAUCAUGGUUUUGGGGUCUGUUUCUGGGAGAAUACUCUGGAGAGAGGAAGACCAUUGUUUGUCAGAGCCCACAAAUGUUUUACUGUCACAUUCUCUAGACCCUCACCCUGUCAUUAUUUGUCAUCCCCUAAGUCCACCUAGGAGAGGCCACAAGGAAAGAAAAUAAUUGUUAUUUAGCCACAGCAGUGAAUGCCAGAGUGGGAAACCAUCUCUCCAUGGGGAAGGAUGCAAGAGGCAGAGAAGAGUUCUGGGAGGUAGCACCAGAGAGUGAGGAGAUAUGGACUGCAGUGUCCUAUGGGCGAGCUGGGCCCAUCUCCUUCACUUCACCCACAUAGGGCCCAGCCAGUGCGGCCAGGUCUUGGCCCCAGCCCAGCUUCUCCCAGCUCUGGGACCUUCAGCACAUCCCUUCUUGUUUGGGCCUACAUUUCAUGACGUGAACAUUAUAUGAAAUGCAAAUUUCAUUGUCUAUAAGGAACUAAAGUUUUGUUUUUGUGGUAUCUAUGGCUGCCUUUGCACUACAGAAGUAUGGUUGAAUAGAUGCUGCAGAGGCUGAAUGGCCCACAAAGCCUAAAUUACCCCAUGGCUCUUUUCAGAAAAAGUUUGCUGACCCCCAACUAAAAGAAGAAACAGUGUCCUUCACGAUGUACACAGUCUACACCAAGUGGACCUGCUGGAAACAACGCCUGUGUGCCCGGGUGAGCCAGCCACGGCUCAGUGAGGGAGCAGCGUGCCUCCUGAGGGGGCUCACAGGGGCUCACACUGCUCUGCUCUUGCAAAACUGCCCUUCCAAAAGUCUGUUCCCCUGUGGGAGGAGGAGGCUCCUGGACGAGUUGGCAAGAAAAUCUCAGGAGGAAGGGACAAA